This 74-nucleotide transfer RNA is filed under the name Ornithorhynchus anatinus (platypus). It matches the Rfam family "tRNA". Rfam says of the family: Transfer RNA (tRNA) molecules are approximately 80 nucleotides in length. Their secondary structure includes four short double-helical elements and three loops (D, anti-codon, and T loops). Further hydrogen bonds mediate the characteristic L-shaped molecular structure. tRNAs have two regions of fundamental functional importance: the anti-codon, which is responsible for specific mRNA codon recognition, and the 3' end, to which the tRNAs corresponding amino acid is attached (by aminoacyl-tRNA synthetases). tRNAs cope with the degeneracy of the genetic code in two manners: having more than one tRNA (with a specific anti-codon) for a particular amino acid; and 'wobble' base-pairing, i.e. permitting non-standard base-pairing at the 3rd anti-codon position. Lineage: Eukaryota; Metazoa; Chordata; Mammalia; Monotremata; Ornithorhynchidae. The record is from Rfam by way of RNAcentral.
GGCAGGUUAGUUCAGCCGGUUAGAACGUGGUGCUAGUAAUGCCAAGGUUGCGGCUUCGACUCCCGUACGGGCCA